GACGAACGCUGGCGGCGUGCCUAAUACAUGCAGGUAGAACGCUGAAGGAGGAGCUUGCUCUUCUGGAUGAGUUGCGAACGGGUGAGUAACGCGUAGGUAACCUGCCUGGUAGCGGGGGAUAACUAUUGGAAACGAUAGCUAAUACCGCAUAACAGUAGAUGUUGCAUGACAUUUACUUAAAAGGUGCAAUUGCAUCACUACCAGAUGGACCUGCGUUGUAUUAGCUAGUUGGUGGGGUAACGGCUCACCAAGGCGACGAUACAUAGCCGACCUGAGAGGGUGAUCGGCCACACUGGGAUGGAGACACGGCCCAGACUCCUGCGGGAGGCAGCAGGAGGGAAUCUCUGGCAAUGGACGGAAGGCUGACCGAGCAACGCCGCGUGAGUGAAGAAGGUUGUCGGAUCGUGAAGCUCUGUUGUAAGAGAAGAACGAGUGUGAGAGUGGAAAGUUCACACUGUGACGGUAUCUUGCCAGAAAGGGACGGCUAACUACGUG
RNAcentral lists this ribosomal RNA (495 nucleotides) under uncultured bacterium. RNAcentral's name for it is "partial 16S ribosomal RNA". It matches the Rfam family "Bacterial small subunit ribosomal RNA", at positions 28 to 507 of the family's 1533-position model. The record is from RNAcentral.